GCGACCAAAGUGAGAUAUUAGUUUCAAUCAACAUGGCUGCUACUACAAUGAAAGCUUCAUUUCCACUUUUGAUGCUAAUGGGAAUUUCUUUCCUAGCAUCAGUGUGUGUUUCUUCUAGGUCUGAUCCUCAAAAUCCUUUUAUCUUCAAGUCUAACAAGUUUCAAACUCUUUUUGAGAAUGAAAAUGGGCACAUUCGACUUCUGCAGAAAUUUGACCAACGUUCUAAAAUUUUCGAGAAUCUACAAAACUACCGUCUUUUGGAAUAUAAGUCCAAACCUCACACAAUAUUUCUUCCACAGCACACCGAUGCCGAUUACAUCCUUGUUGUACUCAGUGGUAAUUUAUUAUUUAUCAAGUUAAAUAUUUAAAACUAAUCACUCAUAGUUCAUUCAAAAAGAACGGUAUUUAUUAUUUUGAGGAGUGCUAGUAACACUCUCUUUUCAACACUCUCAAACACUCACUUUUUUAUUGGUUGAAACAUGUGUGGGUCCCUCGCUUUGGAAAUAGGUCCCACAUAAAGUGGUAAGAGUCACACAUAUUUCAACAAAUGAAAGAGUGUGUGUUUGAGAGAGUGUUGAAAAGAGAGUAUUAUUAGCAUUUCUCUUAUUACUUUACAUAUUUGUUUUGUAAGGAUAAAUUAAAUUCAGUUAUAAAAUCUAAUGUCAUUGUAAUUUUCAGGAAAAGCUAUACUCACAGUGUUGAAACCCGAUGAUAGAAACUCCUUCAACCUUGAGCGCGGAGAUACGAUAAAACUUCCUGCUGGCACAAUUGCUUAUUUGGUUAACAGAGAUGACAACAAGGAGCUUAGAGUAUUAGAUCUCGCCAUUCCCGUAAAUAGACCUGGCCAACUUCAGGUAAUAUAACCAAUGUUUACCUAUUCUCAUAUCAAAUAUGCUAUGCAUUCUAAUGUACAAACAAAUUUAGGGGCCUCUACCAUAACAUCACAACAAAAAUUGCGCCUGUACAUAUUUUUCUGUAAUGUUUCCCUAAUAUUUUCUUUAUUUUUUUUGUCCUUUUCAACAGUCUUUCUUAUUGUCUGGAAAUAAAAACCAACAAAACUACUUAUCUGGGUUCAGUAAGAACAUUCUAGAGGCUUCCUUCAAUGUAAGCAUAACACACAUUUUUUUUUCAUUUAUGUAUGUAUUAGUUUGGUAUUGUAUAUGUUAAUACUCACUUUGUCAAUGUAUGUACUGUAAAAAAAUAUAGACUGAUUAUGAAGAGAUAGAAAAGGUUCUUUUAGAAGAGCAUGAGAAAGAGACACAACACAGAAGAAGCCUUAAGGAUAAGAGGCAGCAAAGUCAAGAAGAGAAUGUAAUAGUAAAAUUAUCAAGGGGACAAAUUGAGGAAUUGAGUAAAAAUGCAAAGUCUACCUCCAAAAAAAGUGUUUCCUCUGAAUCUGAACCAUUCAACUUGAGAAGUCGCGGUCCUAUCUAUUCCAACGAGUUUGGAAAAUUCUUUGAAAUCACCCCAGAGAAAAAUCCACAGCUUCAAGACUUGGAUAUAUUUGUCAAUUCUGUAGAGAUUAAGGAGGUAUGAUAAAAUUAUUUUAUAAUAUAGGAAAUUUACCAAAUUACACAAUGAGAUUUCACUUGAUCAAAUUACAAUUGUUCUAAAUGAUUUGAUUUUUGUCCUUUGAAGUUAUAAUGUCAAACUUUUGUUACUAACUUGACAUCUCAUACACGUCAAGUUUUACAUACUCAAUAACAAGUUUUAUUUAUAGAACAUAUAUCUAAUGUAUUUAUUUAAUUAUUCUUUCAAAUUAAAUAUUAGGGAUCUCUAUUGUUGCCACACUACAAUUCAAGGGCCAUAUUAAUAGUAACAGUUAACGAAGGAAAAGGAGAUUUUGAACUUGUGGAUCAAAGAAAUGAAAACCAACAAGAGCAGAGAAAAGAAGAUGACGAGGAAGAGGAACAAGGAGAAGAGGAGAUAAAUAAACAAGUGCAAAAUUACAAAGCUAAAUUAUCUUCAGGAGAUGUUUUUGUGAUUCCAGCAGGCCAUCCAGUUGCCGUAAAAGCUUCCUCAAAUCUUGAUUUGCUUGGGUUUGGUAUUAAUGCUGAGAACAAUCAGAGGAACUUUCUUGCAGGUAUAUUAUAUUAUCACCCAGUCUCUGUCACUAUUUAUUCAUUUUAAGUGUGUAUUUUAAAAGUCGACUUCUAUUUAAAUCAAGGGGAAAAUAUUAAGAUAUGCUUAUUAUUUUGGUGAUUAAAAAUUUGAAGGCGAUGAGGAUAAUGUGAUUAGUCAGAUACAGCGACCAGUGAAAGAGCUUGCAUUCCCUGGAUCAGCUCAAGAGGUUGAUAGGAUACUAGAGAAUCAGAAACAAUCCCACUUUGCAGAUGCUCAACCUCAACAAAGGGAGAGAGGAAGUCGUGAAACAAGAGAUCGUCUAUCUUCAGUUUGAAAUGUUUCUUAAUGAGUGGACAAAAUACUAUGUAUGUAUGCUAUCAAGAGAUAUAUCUCACGGGGAGCAAUGAAUAAAACAAUGUUAUCUUAUAACUAUAAUUAUAUAUCCACUUUUCUACUAUGAAUAAAUAAAUCAAGAGUAUUUUGGUGUUCCUCUUAGAUAUUAUAUUAUUUUAAGAAAGUCAAUAACUAAAAGUACAAAACACUCAUUAAAUUUAAACUAAUGUAAAGACUUAAUAUCUCAUAUCCAUGAUUCAUGAUAUACAAUCAUCAAUCAAUUAAUAGAAUUCAAAAGAAUAUAUUUGGGGUUGCUCUUGUAAGUUAGCAACAUUUAUACUUGGGGUUGGGGUACUAGAGAAAUUGGUCAAAAUAAAGAAAAAUAAAAAUAAAAUCUAGGUGUUAAGAAUGACUUCUUCAAAAAAAUUGUUAAAAAGAAAAGGAAUGCAAGCUAGUGGGAUACACUGACUCAUGUUGGUAUGGUGAUGCUGAUGAUAGAAAAUGUGUUUAUACUAUGUGGUGCACCAGUUGCUUAGAGCUCAUGAAAAGAACCAGUUGUAGCUCUGUCAUCAUGUGAGACUGAUUACAUAGUUGCCUUUCUUUGUGCAUGUCAAGCAACAUGAAUGGUAAAUUUGAUCGAAGAGAUUAUAGGUCAAAAUCAUGAAGCAGUAAUCAUGAAGAUUGAUAACAUUUUUGCUAUAAAUUUGUCCAAGAACCCAAUAUGAUACGGAAGAAGAAAACACAAUGAGAUGAGGUUCCAUUAUCUUAGAGAGAAAGUAUCAAAUGUGAAAUUUUGUUUCUCAUAGGACAGAUGUUGGACACGGUGUUGGGACAAUUGAUCCAACUUGUUAAAACCAUUAAGACAGUAAUAUAAUAACAACAGUAACACGAAUUGAGAAUUUCAAAAACAGAGAUCCAAGUAUAAAAAAAUACGAAAAAAUCAUGUGAAACCUAAAUGAAAGAAAGCGUAGGAAUAACUAGGGAUGGAGCCAGGAAUUCUAAAUAGUGUGGGCAAAUUUAUAAAUUUAUUACGAGAAAAGUAUAAUAUAUUAUUUAUAAAGAAAUAUUAUUUUAUUUUUUAAAGUUUUUUAAUGAUUUAAAAUUAUUAAUGGUUUCUUAAUUUUCUACUUAUAAUUAUAUAACAUAUUUUAUCCUCACCAAUCAAUUGAUAGUUCAUAGAUUAUUAACUUUUCUUUAAUUCUAAAAUUAUAGAAUUAAAAGGAUAAGAUAAUAAUAUCCAGACUAUUAAUUUUUUUUUAUCAAAAAUAGUAGAGACUAUUUUGGACUAAAUUUUGAAAUGAAGUAAGUAUUUAAUGAAAUAUACACCAUCAUUACUAUUACCACAUGAGUAGUAUAUUAUAAUUAAAAUUUUAAUUAUAGUGGGGCAUAGACCUACAUAGUUGUGUAUGUAGCUCCGUCUCUGUGAAUAACAUGUUUAUUUUUUAGAAAAAAGAAGAAGAAACAACAUUUAAAUACUUAGAUAAAGAAGAAACAACGUUUAAUUUGAAUACCUUUUAGUACAAAGAAGAAGAAAGACGAGUUGUAUGGAAGAAGAAGACAGACGAUUUCGUAGGAUGUGGAAGAGAGAGAGAGAUAUUAGGGUUUUGUAAUUUGAGCGAGAGGACUGAAGUUUGAUAACUUUGCUUAUAUAUAUGUAAAACUUAUCACCGUCGUUGGCAAGAAAAACCGUGAUAAACUGUCAGUACUAUCCACAAUGGUUCCUGGUACUAACCGGGGUGAUAAAUAUUCUAAUUUUAAUAUAUUUAUAAGACGAUAUGGACAAACUCUUUUUGUAACGAUAAAAAAAUUGUUUGUGCUGGGAUUCGAAGCAUGUAACCUUUCAUCUAUAAUCACAGUUGUUAUUAUGAACCGUGAAGAAAUGUCUUUUAAUAAAAUAUAAAAAAAUUCAGGUGCAUUAAGAUAAGUUAUUACAACGGUUGCUUAAACGGCCUUGGUAAUAUGGUGUUAAGAAAGGUAUAUUUUGUAGUAGUGUAUUUUCCCACGGUGGAUGCUACUUGUUGUAAAAUUGAAAGGUUCAACCACACCAUGAUUUUUUGUUGAAAAAGUCUAACAAUAAUAUUAAUCACGUGAUAAAUAUUGAUGUGUGGGACAAAGAACAAUGAAAAAUAAAAAUAAAUAUCCUCAAGAAAAAAAUCAUCUGCCAAACAAUGAAGGCAAAUCCACAAUAAACAAGAGAAAAUUAAAAUACUAGUAAAAAUAAUUCGUCCUAAUAAAUUUUUUUAAUGCAUUAGGCAUUUCAUUAUACUUAACAAAAAUUUAAAUAGCAAAAAUUAAAAUACUAGUAAAAAUAAUUCGUCCUAAUAAAUUUUUUUAAUGCAUUAGGCAUUUCAUUAUACUUAACAAAAAUUUAAAUAGCACAAUAAUAUUAAAUAUUGUUAAUAGAAUAUAACAAAAGCCAAUAUCACAUGGAUCAUAUAUAAACCAUUCCACUUCUUGAUAACAGUGAAAUUGUUUUAACUAACAAUAGAUAAGUAGAAUGCUAAUAUAUUUCACUUCUUUUCUAAUCAACUUCAUGGAAUCCAGGACAAUGAUAGGCAAAAUACUGAAAUAAGACUCUAAGGGAUUGGGCACCUAGAAGUAUUGGCCAUAUUCCUCUAAACUUUUCUUCUUUUUUCUGCAAAAUGAUUUUGUCCAUAAUUCAAACAUAAAGCUCACACAUGCCACGUAUUGAGACGCAUGCAGGAUUAACACCAAACAACUACUCAAAAGGAUGCUAAAGUCUACAAUAACUAUACUUAAUUUCUCAAAUGGUGAUGUAACCUAAUAACACUUUGCAAGCUAUAAUAUAAAGAAUGUGACCUACACAUAUAACUCAUACUUGCUACACACAUUGAAUAUUGUUAACUUCAGCAUUCAACCAAUACUUUCUACACACGUAGGAAAAUUAAUUUGCUUGUGUUUAUGCCAAAAACUAAUAAAAUAGGGUAAAUAUAAAAGGCAUAAUAAUGCAUAAUGAAAUUGAAAGAGAAUUGUUACUUCAAUAAACAGAAAAUGCUAAAAGGUGUUUCUUUCUACAAAAACUCAAUUCGUCAACUAUCAUUCCUUGAGCGACCAAACAUAACAUUAAUAUUAUUAAAAAAAAGGAGUUAAAACGGUCAAAUGGAGGAGGAAGAAGAAACUCACACUUUAUUUCUGAGUUUUAGAUUGACCAAAGUGUUAAGGAACACAUUCUAAGUAGUUAGGUCUUGCGAAUUAAUCAAUAUGAAAUAAGAUCUAAUUCCACACCAAUUGAUAUGUUAAAGAAAUCAAAGAUUAUAAAAAUAAAAUUAUUCCUUUCAAUCUAUAGACAUGACAGACAGGGAGGUUGAGAAAGGUGGUAACAUCAAGGAGCAAACGAGAUAGAUGGUGGGUUAAAUGAUCAGAAUUAAUUGAAAAUGUAAAGCUAAUUUACAUUUUGUUUGGUCCAUUGAGGAGGCAAGCAUAAGUCCAUUAAUUGGCAGUUGUUUCCCAUGAUAUGGUAGGAGACUAGUAUAAGUCCAUUGAUUGGCAUCUGGUAUCCAUGUUUGUUUUUGUUUUAGGAGAUUGGUAUAAGUCCAUUGAUUGGCUUCCAGUAUCCAUUUUUGCUUUAGGAGAUUGGUAUAAGUCCAUUGAUUGGCUUCCGGUAUCCAUUUUUGUUUUGGGAGAUUGGUAUAAGUCCAUUGAUUGGCUUCCGGUAUCCAUUUUUGUUUUGGGAGAUUGGUAUAAGUCCAUUGAUUGGCAUCCGGUAUCCAGUUUUGUUUUGGGAGAUUGGUAUAAGUCCAUUGAUUGGCAUUCGGUAUCCAUCUUGUUAUUUGCUUAUNAAUUUGUCAAUUUGAUCAAGAUAAACCAAAGGGCUUGAGGAUUGUUUCCCAAGGAAACCCUAAUUCAACUGUGCAUUGACUGUGCCUUGCUCAUGAAGCAACCUCAACCCAUGAUCAAAUACAAUAAAGGUAAGCUCUUUCAUUCAUAAUUUUAUGCAUAUAUGAACUCAUGUGAGUGUCCUCAAUCAUCCAUUCAUCAAGAUUUGAAGUUUGGACUUGAGAAGUUUAUCAGUCAAUUCAUCUGACUAUUUUGAAAUCCACUGAGACCUAACUUUUGAUGUGUUUGUCAAAUGAAGAUGACCCCAAGAUAAAAUAUGUUCUUAAGGACCAUAUGAACAACUUUUAUGUUCAUAAAAAAUGGAUUUGAAACUUGUAAGGUCAUUAUUCAUUUCAAAACAUUAUAGAUCAUUUUGAUUGAAACCCUAAUUUUGGGUCAACUUCCCAAGGACCUAACUCACUCAUUUUUAAUGAUUUUGAGGUGGGAUCAAAUGAAUUAGAAACUUUAAGAUGUCUAAUUCAAUUGUUAUGUUGGAAAAAUUUUCAUAAUCCUAAAAUAAACACAUGUGAUAAUGCAAAACAUUAUAGGUCACUGUGGACCAAAGUCAUUGAAAUGUAAAAAAGUCCAACAUUAAGUGCCCAUAACUUUCUCAUCAAAAAUCCAAAUGAUGCAAACUUUAAGUCCAAAUUUAUUUUCUUGAAAAUAUAUACACCUUUUAUGUUGAAGGUUUUGUCAUUUGAGGCUUGCAUCAUUGAAACAUAAGGGCUUGAAGUUGGUCCAUUUUGGCAAAAUUCACAUACACAUGUUUUGCACCUUGAACUUCAUGAAUAGUUUUCAUAAAUUUCCCAACUCCAAAUGGAUUUUUAUUCAACAUAACAUUUGUUCCUCAUGUCAAUACCUUUCCAACCAUUACCCACAUGGCUAUGUUUCAAUUUGGCAAAGUGCAUUUUCGAAGAGGAGAAGAUUUAUGUUCAUUUAUGGAAACAAUGUUAAAACUUAGUGCGCACUCCAUUGCAAUGCCAUGUACACAUCCAAAACACUCCAAUUACACUUCAGCUUGCAUUUGCCAUCAAGUUUGGUCCUCCCAUGCGCCUGUACAGGCCCAUGCAUGGAGGCCCUUAUUCCACAUGCACACGAGUUUGCCAUUGCUUGCAUCAGCUUUCACUAUAAAUACAGAUGCUUGGCUUCAUUCAAUUCCAACCUUAAGAUGCUUGCAUCAGCUUUCACUAUAAAUACAGAUGCUUGGCUUCAUUCAAUUCCAACCUUAAGGCGCCUAACACUCUGUAGAAUUGAAAUCCUACCCUUCACUCAAAGGAAUUUUGAAUUUUCUUCUUCUAUUUUUCAGUUCAAUUUUCAACUUUCUUGGUUGAUCAUUGAGCUUCAAUUCCUAAGCCUAGCUACUUUGCCAUCUCAAGAUCAUAUUGCAUCAAAGAAUUGGAAGAGAUCGUGCCUUGUAAAGUUGCACUUCAAAGGUUGUUGUUCAAACUUUUUGAUUCGAAACUCCCUGGAUAUUGCUCAUUUCUUGUGUUUGUUGGUUCCUCUGAAGUCCUCAUGUGAGAGGCAAUUGAUCUGUGCAUUCAAUUUCAUGAAUUGAUCAAGUUCAGUUUGAACACCAUGAAUUUCUAUCUAAGAUUUCUCCUUCUAUGAGAGUCUAGAGUAGAAACCAAUGGCACAAGGGUGACGUACAUCACCCCAGCUUUCCAAUGAUUUGAGGAUCGUGCGUUUUGGUGAGGUUUUUAAAACAUGUAACUCUUGCCGGAGCUGGCUUGCUCGCCGGAGAAGACGGUGGUGUACACCACCGUCCCCCACGCCAGAUUGCAUCUAGACCAUUGAAUGUUGUUUCUAGAUUGAAUCACAGCCAUGCAAUGUUAUGACUUUUUUAAAUGCAUUAUGUUUCUCUUUCGACCAAGGCCUUUGGUGACCGCACGCUUUAUAGACUCUUGAUUAGCCACAUCAUUUAAUGAAUAUGAUCAGACGCUCCAGGCUUUUUCUUAAUUUCUGAAUUUCAUUUUAUUUUCUUUUAUUUCCUUUUAUUUCAAAAAUGCAUAUCUUCUUCAUUUUAAAUCCAAAAAAUAUGGGACCAAUUACAUUAUUUCAUUUUUUAAUUCUAGUUUCUGAAAAUGAUUUUUAAUAUUUUUUAUGAUGUCAUUUAAUAUUUUUUGUGAAUUUUCUAUUUUCUGGUUAUUUUUAAUUCAUUUUAAAUAGUUUCCAAUAUUCAAAAAAUGCAAAAAUAUUUUCUUAACACCUUUGAAUGAUGAUGAAUCUAUGAAAAAUAUUCUCAUCAAUUUCUUAAUUGAUUUGAGAUUUAUUUGAGAUUUUAGUUCAAUUAUGUCAUAUUUUCUUCAUUUUUAAUUAUUUAAAAUUAGUUUUUGUUUUCAAAAAAUGAUGAAAAAAUUUGUCAAACCUUGUUUGACCUUGUUGAACUUAUGAUGAUCUAUUUGGACUUUUCCAAGUUGAUUUGAAAUGGAUUUGAAGUUUGACCUUUAUUUGUUUAUUUUAAUUCAAGUAUUAUUUUAAUUCUCAAAAAAUACCAAAAAUAUUU
Molecule: long non-coding RNA, 8737 nt
Filed under: Lathyrus oleraceus (garden pea)
Lineage: Eukaryota; Viridiplantae; Streptophyta; Magnoliopsida; Fabales; Fabaceae
Description: Pisum sativum (pea) long non-coding RNA (PSAT_LNC039934)
Source: RNAcentral